Molecule: ribosomal RNA, 478 nt
Filed under: uncultured bacterium
Lineage: Bacteria
Description: partial 16S ribosomal RNA
Rfam family: Bacterial small subunit ribosomal RNA
Source: RNAcentral
GACGAACGCUGGCGGCGUGCUUAACACAUGCAAGUCGAACGGUAAGGCCCUUCGGGGUACACGAGUGGCGAACGGGUGAGUAACACGUGGGUGAUCUGCCCUGCACUUCGGGAUAAGCCUGGGAAACUGGGUCUAAUACCGGAUAGGACCCUGGGAUGCAUGUCCUGGGGUGGAAAGCUUUUGCGGUGUGGGAUGGGCCCGCGGCCUAUCAGCUUGUUGGGGGGGUGAUGGCCUACCAAGGCGACGACGGGUAGCCGGCCUGAGAGGGUGACCGGCCACAGUGGGACUGAGAUACGGCCCAGACUCCUACGGGAGGCAGCAGUGGGGAAUAUUGAACAAUGGGCGCAAGCCUGAUGCAGCGACGCCGCGUGAGGGAUGACGGCCUUCGGGUUGUAAACCUCUUUCAGCACCGACGAAGCGCAAGUGACGGUAGGUGCAGAAGAAGGACCGGCCAACUACGUGCCAGCAGCCGCCGUAA